GCGAGCGUUGUCCGGAUUUAUUGGGCGUAAAGAGCGUGUAGGCGGCCAGGUAGGUCUGCUGUGAAAACUCGAGGCUCAACCUCGAGACGUCGGCGGAAACCAUCUGGCUAGAGUCCGGAAGAGGAGAGUGGAAUUCCUGGUGUAGCGGUGAAAUGCGCAGAUAUCAGGAAGAACACCCGUGGCGAAGGCGGCUCUCUGGGACGGUACUGACGCUGAGACGCGAAAGCGUGGGGAGCGAACAGG
Molecule: ribosomal RNA, 243 nt
Filed under: uncultured bacterium
Lineage: Bacteria
Description: partial 16S ribosomal RNA
Rfam family: Bacterial small subunit ribosomal RNA
Source: RNAcentral